This 330-nucleotide long non-coding RNA is filed under the name Ananas comosus (pineapple). Its description in RNAcentral is "long non-coding RNA (ACOM_LNC043675)". The record is from RNAcentral. Lineage: Eukaryota; Viridiplantae; Streptophyta; Magnoliopsida; Poales; Bromeliaceae.
AUUUAUUGGGAUCUGCGUAUCCCUACUUGUCUAAUAUGUAAUAAUUAGGUAGGCAAAAUUAGAGUUCUAUAGGGAAGUGUGCUCAGCAAGAGUUGACGGACUGAGGUCGUAAUUUUUUACGGCACCGUGGCAUACAUAGGACUCAGGAGAAGAAGAUGAUUGAAUGGUCGCAGACGGGAUCUAUUUGACCACAUAAGAUGUUGGUAAAUCGGAUAGUUGAAGAAUAGCUUUUCUUAAAAGUUGAGAGUGUGUAUGUGAAUGUAACAAUUACCCCAUAGACUGAUUUGACUCAUCGGCUCAAGUCAAAUCAUAAAACUUCAUGAUCAUCCC